This 505-nucleotide ribosomal RNA is filed under the name uncultured bacterium. RNAcentral describes it as "partial 16S ribosomal RNA". It matches the Rfam family "Bacterial small subunit ribosomal RNA", at positions 28 to 507 of the family's 1533-position model. The record is from RNAcentral.
GACGAACGCUGGCGGCGUGCCUAAUACAUGCAAGUAGAACGCACAGUUUAUACCGUAGCUUGCUACACCAUAGACUGUGAGUUGCGAACGGGUGAGUAACGCGUAGGUAACCUGCCUGGUAGCGGGGGAUAACUAUUGGAAACGAUAGCUAAUACCGCAUAAUAUUAAUUAUUGCAUGAUAAUUAAUUGAAAGGUGCAAUUGCACCACUACCAGAUGGACCUGCGUUGUAUUAGCUAGUAGGUGAGGUAACGGCUCACCUAGGCGACGAUACAUAGCCGACCUGGGAGGGUGAUCGGCCACACUGGGACUGAGACACGGCCCAGACUCCUACGGGAGGCAGCAGUAGGGAAUCUUCGGCAAUGGACGAAAGUCCGACCGAGCAACGCCGCGUGAGUGAAGAAGGUUUUCGGAUCGUAAAGCUCUGUUGUAAGAGAAGAACGGGUGUGAGAGUGGAAAGUUCACACUGUGACGGUAUCUUACCAGAAAGGGACGGCUAACUACGUG